RNAcentral lists this ribosomal RNA (254 nucleotides) under uncultured bacterium. RNAcentral's name for it is "partial 16S ribosomal RNA". It matches the Rfam family "Bacterial small subunit ribosomal RNA", at positions 524 to 776 of the family's 1533-position model. The record is from RNAcentral.
UACGUAGGGGCCAAGCGUUGUCCGGAUUUAUUGGGCGUAAAGAGCUCGUAGGCGGUUGGGUAAGUCGGGUGUGAAAACUCCAGGCUCAACUUGGAGACGUCACCCGAUACUGCUCUGACUUGAGUUCGGUAGGGGAGUGGGGAAUUCCUGGUGUAGCGGUGAAAUGCGCAGAUAUCAGGAGGAACACCGGUGGCGAAGGCGCCACUCUGGGCCGAAACUGACGCUGAGGAGCGAAAGCGUGGGUAGCAAACAGG